RNAcentral lists this ribosomal RNA (386 nucleotides) under uncultured bacterium. Its description in RNAcentral is "bacterial SSU rRNA". It matches the Rfam family "Bacterial small subunit ribosomal RNA", at positions 28 to 416 of the family's 1533-position model. The record is from RNAcentral.
GACGAACGCUGGCGGCGUGCUUAACACAUGCAAGUCGAGCGGUAAGGCCCUUUCGGGGGUACACGAGCGGCGAACGGGUGAGUAACACGUGGGUGACCUGCCCUUAGCUCUGGGAUAAGCCUGGGAAACUGGGUCUAAUACCGGAUAUGACUCCAUGACGCAUGUUGUGGGGUGGAAAGCCUUGUGCGGCUAGGGAUGGGCCUGCGGCCUAUCAGCUUGUUGGUGGGGUGAUGGCCUACCAAGGCGACGACGGGUAGCCGGCCUGAGAGGGCGACCGGCCACACUGGGACUGAGACACGGCCCAGACUCCUACGGGAGGCAGCAGUGGGGAAUCUUGCGCAAUGGGCGAAAGCCUGACGCAGCGACGCCGCGUGGGGAUGACGGCC